ACAGCUGAUCACUUCUGCCACUACAGACAAGAACACCCUGCUUGAUCUCAUUUUCAUUUCUCAGCCACAGCAAUGUCUCCAUUCAGGUGUCCUGAGAACAUAUUACAGUUACCACAACCCUGUGUUUUGUGUCCUGUCCUCCAGCCAAUCAUGAAGUCGUCUGCCACAGCAAAGUCUCCAUUCAGGUGUCCUGGGAACUAAUUACAGUUACCACAACCCUGUAUUCUGUGUCCUGUCCUCAAGUCAAUCAUGAAGUCUUCUGCUGAACCAACAUCAUCUUUAACACCAUAUUCAUGAACUCCUGAUCCCAACCUCAUCCAUCACUGCUGGACAACACAGAGACUAGAUGCCAAAUACAGACUGCUGCCUUUAUAACCUGCCAUACCAGUGUAUCUUCAGCGGAGAAGAUGACACACUCAUCACUCUACCUGCUAAUUCAUCUGCAGACCAUCACCAUUUUGCCACACUCCACACCUCUGAAACCAUCACUGAUGAGUUAUGCUGAAAAAUCUGUACUUCCUGUCACGCUACAGUGAUCCUGAGACCAAAGAGAGCUAUUGUUGUCUUGUGAAUUCUUCCAUUUCACAACUGACACAUUAAAACCUCAUCACAGAGCUCUUGUCUAUUCUCACCAUCAUGUGACUGUCAGAUUGCUCUGGACCCUGGACCUGCAACAAAUAUGAGUGACCAUCUUUUGUGACUUCAUUGCUACUGAUCAACCACCUUGGUCCAGGAAGAUAAGAGGGCUGCAGCCAAUCUUUGAAUCAGUUUGUAUCACCAGAAUUAACAAACGAUAUCAGAUAUAUGAAAAUGAGCUUUCAACAAAUGUGGAUUAUUUUUUUUAUUGUGUCUUGACUGUGUUGCAAGAAUCUAUAUAACUUGUUUGUGAAAAUAGUAGAUUCACAUUUUUCUUAACUCUGUAAGAAUAGCAGGCUGGAUUCAUACAAACACACAGCUUUCAAUCUUCAGUUGUAGACUACACAAUAUUAAUCAUGUAAUUCUUUUUGAGAAUGAGAAAAACAAACAAACACUGCAGUGAUCCAUUCUCUUAAUGUUUCUAAUUUGAAAUGUGAAAAAAUGCAUAUUGAACAUGAUAAAUCAUUACAUCUCAUAUAGUGUUUGUUUGAAUCCUCCCUUCAUAUGGGGUGUCAAUUAGUAUAUGAGUACAGAACUUGUGUAACACUGCUUUCUCCACAUUCUUUUUUAUAGUAUUCUAAUAUAUAGGUAGUUGCACACACAUACUGCAGGAUCUUAAUGGUAAAGUCUGUUUCAAAAUGAACCCCUGCUUCUCAGACCAUGAUUAACAAUCCCCUGUAGCUGUUGAAAAGUGCAUAGUUAAAAUCUACUGAUAUGAAUUACUGUUUAUCAUUUCUUUUGAGGAAACACAGCUGACUUCAGUUUACAUAACAGUGCAACCAUAACUUUCAUGUAUAUGACUUUACAGUUACUUUAUGAGAGAUUCCCAGCUACGGCACAUUGGUAGCAGCAAUAUGUCAAAACCCUUUACAAGUUAAAACAAAGAAUCAUUCACUGUCUAAGAAAAGGCAGUGAUUUAUUUCCCAUCGAAUUGAUUUCACAA
This is a long non-coding RNA of Oreochromis niloticus (Nile tilapia), 1579 nucleotides long. RefSeq lists it as uncharacterized. The record is from RefSeq and is a predicted model, not a curated record. The transcript is spliced from 5 exons. NCBI's taxonomy places the organism in Eukaryota, Metazoa, Chordata, Actinopteri, Cichliformes, Cichlidae.